This 462-nucleotide ribosomal RNA is filed under the name uncultured prokaryote. RNAcentral's name for it is "partial 16S ribosomal RNA". The record is from RNAcentral.
CCCUACGGGGCGCCCCACCUUUGGCUUCCCGACCCGCAUGCUGGGCACCAACCCUGUGGCCUCGCAGUUCUCCGGCCUCAACAACAAAGCUGUCAUCAUGCAGAUUUUCAUCUUCAGCGGCGUUCUUUCUUCGAUUGCUGGUGUUCUCAUCAUGAGUCGCACCAUGUCAGCUUCCAACGCGUACGGCACCGCCACGUAUGUGAUGUUGACCAUCCUGAUUGGCGUGCUGGCCGGCGUGGUUUCGGGCAAAGGCAGCGUUCUGAACAUCUUCAGCACCGUCUUUAUUUUGCAGGUCAUCUCCACCGGUUCACACAUGCUGCGGGCAGGCGGGCGCGGCAGCUCGUUCUGCAAGGAUUUUGCCUGGGGUGUGCUCCUGAUUAUCAUUUUCAUCAUCAACUACGUCACCCACGGGCGAAGGAAGGAAUAAUUUAGGCGCGUUCGACUGGGCCCGGGCGGGAGGGC